RNAcentral lists this ribosomal RNA (585 nucleotides) under uncultured bacterium. RNAcentral's name for it is "partial 16S ribosomal RNA". It matches the Rfam family "Bacterial small subunit ribosomal RNA", at positions 355 to 1375 of the family's 1533-position model. The record is from RNAcentral.
UGGGGAAUUUUGGACAAUGGGCGAAAGCCUGAUCCAGCAAUGCCGCGUGUGUGAAGAAGGCCUUCGGGUUGUAAAGCACUUUUGUCCGGAAAGAAAUCCUUGGCUCUAAUACAGUCGGGGGGUGACGGUACCGGAAGAAUAAGCACCGGCUAACUACGUGCCAGCAGCCGCGGUAAUACGUAGGGUGCAAGCGUUAAUCGGAAUUACUGGGCGUAAAGCGUGCGCAGGCGGUUUGCUAAGACCGAUGUGAAAUCCCCGGGCUCAACCUGGGAACUGCAUUGGUGACUGGCAGGCUAGAGUAUGGCAGAGGGGGGUAGAAUUCCACGUGUAGCAGUGAAAUGCGUAGAGAUGUGGAGGAAUACCGAUGGCGAAGGCAGCCCCCUGGGCCAAUACUGACGCUCAUGCACGAAAGCGUGGGGAGCAAACAGGAUUAGAUACCCUGGUAGUCCACGCCCUAAACGAUGUCAACUAGUUGUUGGGGAUUCAUUUCCUUAGUAACGUAGCUAACGCGUGAAGUUGACCGCCUGGGGAGUACGGUCGCAAGAUUAAAACUCAAAGGAAUUGACGGGGUCAUAGCUGUUUCCU